This 666-nucleotide long non-coding RNA is filed under the name Vulpes vulpes (red fox). Its description in RNAcentral is "lncRNA (ENSVVUG00000002692.1)". Lineage: Eukaryota; Metazoa; Chordata; Mammalia; Carnivora; Canidae. The record is from RNAcentral.
UGCUCGUCUAGAUGCCAGAGGAGGCAGGUGUGAAUAGAGUGGGGGCGGGCAAGAUGCUAGACGGGGAAAAUGUUCAACAUAAAUAUGUUUACAAUUUUCUUACAAUGUGCUAUACUUCAAAGGAGAUGAGGCUUUCAGAGCAUCUGGGGUCUUCCCUUUGAGAGAGAGAACAGGCUUGGUUUUUGGAGCACUAUGGAUUAUACCCCUUCCACUUAAAUGGCCACUUUCCUUUCACUCAGAUUCAUCCCUCGUGAAGAUGGAGAAGACAAGUUCACGUCCUGGUUCUCAAGGCUUGUGAGUGGGCAUAGAUUUGCCAGAAAAAGCAAGUUAGGUGCCGUGCUAGGGGUGUGUGUGGUGAAGCCAGAGAAUACGCAGGAAGCUUGUGUCGACUUCGUGUUCAGCCUUCACUCUUCUCCUUGGGCCAAGCUCGUGAUGACUUUGUCUCUCCCUUUCUGGUCCUGGCGACGUUACCAUCUUUCAUCUCUCCGGUGUGCAGGCCCUGCUCUCCAGAAUAGAGCUGAGACCGUGGACACACAUGGGCCCCAGCGCGGGAGAUGCAGAGCCGCUGUGCUGGCUGAUGGGGGAGAUGCACAGUGUCUGAGGACUCGGAACCCAGCCCAGUGUGCAGAGGUUGACCCGACAAGUGCAGCCAAAAAAUCGGUGUGA